UACGGAGGGUGCAAGCGUUAAUCGGAAUUACUGGGCGUAAAGGGUGCGUAGGUGGUUUAAUAAGUUAUCUGUGAAAUUCCUGGGCUCAACCUGGGGCGGUCAGAUAAGACUGUUAGACUCGAGUAUAGGAGAGGGUAGUGGAAUUUCCGGUGUAGCGGUGAAAUGCGUAGAGAUCGGAAGGAACACCAGUGGCGAAGGCGGCUACCUGGCCUAAUACUGACACUGAGGCACGAAAGCGUGGGGAGCAAACAGG
Molecule: ribosomal RNA, 253 nt
Filed under: uncultured bacterium
Lineage: Bacteria
Description: partial 16S ribosomal RNA
Rfam family: Bacterial small subunit ribosomal RNA
Source: RNAcentral